Molecule: ribosomal RNA, 637 nt
Filed under: uncultured bacterium
Lineage: Bacteria
Description: bacterial SSU rRNA
Rfam family: Bacterial small subunit ribosomal RNA
Source: RNAcentral
UAAAGAUUCAUCGCUGAUAGAUAGGCGUGCGUUCCAUUAGGCAGUUGGCGGGGUAACGGCCCACCAAACCGACGAUGGAUAGGGGUUCUGAGAGGAAGGUCCCCCACAUUGGUACUGAGACACGGACCAAACUCCUACGGGAGGCAGCAGUGAGGAAUAUUGGUCAAUGGGCGUAAGCCUGAACCAGCCAAGUCGCGUGAGGGAUGAAGGUUCUAUGGAUCGUAAACCUCUUUUAUAAGGGAAUAAAGUGUGGGACGUGUCCUAUUUUGUAUGUACCUUAUGAAUAAGGAUCGGCUAACUCCGUGCCAGCAGCCGCGGUAAUACGGAGGAUCCGAGCGUUAUCCGGAUUUAUUGGGUUUAAAGGGUGCGUAGGCGGCCUUUUAAGUCAGCGGUGAAAGUCUGUGGCUCAACCAUAGAAUUGCCGUUGAAACUGGGGGGCUUGAGUAUGUUUGAGGCAGGCGGAAUGCGUGGUGUAGCGGUGAAAUGCUUAGAUAUCACGCAGAACCCCGAUUGCGAAGGCAGCCUGCCAAGCCAUGACUGACGCUGAUGCACGAAAGCGUGGGGAUCAAACAGGAUUAGAUACCCUGGUAGUCCACGCAGUAAACGAUGAUCACUAGCUGUUUGCGAUACAGUGUAA